This 488-nucleotide ribosomal RNA is filed under the name uncultured bacterium. RNAcentral describes it as "bacterial SSU rRNA". It matches the Rfam family "Bacterial small subunit ribosomal RNA", at positions 30 to 511 of the family's 1533-position model. The record is from RNAcentral.
AUUGAACGCUGGCGGCAUGCCUUACACAUGCAAGUCGAACGGUAACAGGUCUUCGGAUGCUGACGAGUGGCGAACGGGUGAGUAAUACAUCGGAACGUGCCCGAGAGUGGGGGAUAACGCAGCGAAAGCUGUGCUAAUACCGCAUACGAUCUACGGAUGAAAGCGGGGGAUCGCAAGACCUCGCGCGGACGGAGCGGCCGAUGGCAGAUUAGGUAGUUGGUGGGAUAAAAGCUUACCAAGCCGACGAUCUGUAGCUGGUCUGAGAGGACGACCAGCCACACUGGGACUGAGACACGGCCCAGACUCCUACGGGAGGCAGCAGUGGGGAAUUUUGGACAAUGGGCGCAAGCCUGAUCCAGCCAUGCCGCGUGCAGGAUGAAGGCCUUCGGGUUGUAAACUGCUUUUGUACGGAACGAAAAGCUACUCUCUAAUACAGGGGGUAAUGGAACGGUACCGUAAGAAUAAGCACCGGACUAACUACGUGCCAG